RNAcentral lists this ribosomal RNA (433 nucleotides) under uncultured bacterium. RNAcentral describes it as "partial 16S ribosomal RNA". It matches the Rfam family "Bacterial small subunit ribosomal RNA", at positions 29 to 507 of the family's 1533-position model. The record is from RNAcentral.
AGCGAACGCUGGCGGCAGGCUUAACACAUGCAAGUCGAGCGGGCACUUCGGUGUCAGCGGCAGACGGGUGAGUAACACGUGGGAACGUACCCUUCGGUUCGGAAUAACGCUGGGAAACUAGCGCUAAUACCGGAUACGCCCUUUUGGGGAAAGGUUUACUGCCGAAGGAUCGGCCCGCGUCUGAUUGGCUAGUUGGUGGUGUAAUGGCCUACCAAGGCGACGAUCAGUAGCUGGUCUGAGAGGAUGAUCAGCCACACUGGGACUGAGACACGGCCCAGACUCCUACGGGAGGAAGCAGUGGGGAAUAUUGGACAAGGGGCGCAAGCCUGAGCCAGCCAUGCCGCGGGAGUGAUGAAGGCCUUAGGGUUGUAAAGCUCUUUUGGCCGGGACGAUAAUGACGGUACCGGAAGAAUAAGCCCCGGCUAACUUCGUG